This 1264-nucleotide unclassified non-coding RNA is filed under the name Leishmania donovani. RNAcentral's name for it is "gene:LdHU3.26.0790(CDS-product:10_kDa_heat_shock_ protein_putative)". The record is from RNAcentral. Lineage: Eukaryota; Euglenozoa; Kinetoplastea; Trypanosomatida; Trypanosomatidae.
GAUUACCUUCCACGUCUUCACAGCUCUCAGGUAUACACACACGUACGCGUCUCCCUCUAUUCAUCAGGUGCGACCUCACUUACAUAUUUUCCUCCCUUUGCUUCUUCCUGUUUCGACCCCGCUCACCUAAUGUUCCGCUUCACCAUCCCCGCCCUGAAGAAGCUGCAGCCGCUGGGCCAGCGCGUGCUGGUGAAGCGCGUGCAGCCGGCGAAGCAGACGAAGGCCGGCAUCCUGAUCCCUGAGCAGGUGGCUGCCAAGGUCAACGAGGGCACCGUUGUGGCGGUGGCGGCUGGGUCGAAGGACUGGACGCCGACGGUGAAGGUGGGCGACACGGUACUGCUGCCGGAGUACGGUGGCUCUUCGGUGAAGGUGGAAGGGGAGGAGCUCUUCCUGUACGAUGAGAGCGUGCUGCUUGGCGUGCUGUCAAGCUGAGAAACGGGUGGAGAAGGGACCGACACGGUACGCGGGACACGGCACACGCACUCUUCUCCUUAGCAGUGGACGGAAAAGAGGAACGGAUGAAGGGAGGCAGGGGAAGGAUGUCCGGACGUGGUCGGAGGGCAACAGGUAUGUCGUCGCACAGAAAACAAAUGGAAAAACAACCGCCCGUCCGAGUAAAGGGGAGGGAGCAGCGUGGGCAGGCCACGCCUUGCUCCUCCUUUCGCUCGUCUCUUGUCUAACGACCCCUUGCCCCCCCCCUUUGCAGCCAUAGCUGUGCGCGUGCGUCUCUAUCCUCGUUCUGUUUUCGCAGGCUCUUCUUCACGUACGCGCAGGGCGUUUCGUCAUUUGAUUUCCCUUUUUUUCUGCCUCCUCCUCGCUCGAGCACACGUGUGCACCCAUGAAAGCUCAUCAUGCACGCACAUUGGCUCGCUCCUGCCUCUUGUGCAGGUUGCUGCUGUGUGGGUCGGCGUGUCUCUGUGAGUGCAGGGGGAGGGGGACACUUCUUUUCUCCCUCUCUGUACUUCGCCGCUCUGUGCUGCAUGCGCGUGCAAACGCACUACUGCGUAAACGGCAGCCUGACGGCGAGGAUGGCAAGCGUUGCGAGGACGAAGUGGUGAGAAGGAGGGGAGGGAGAGGGGAGGGUGGGUUCAGGAGGAGGAUGGCGGCAGGGUGUGCGUGUGUGUCUCUGUAUGUGCGGGCGAAAGCGUCUCACGCAUGCGGCAUGUAGUUCGUUAACGGAAGUGCGCACAUGCACGCGAUCGGACGCACGAUACGACGACACAGCAUGACUCGGACUUCAUUUUACCUUCAUCACCACCCUCGG